AAGUCGUAACAAGGUCUCCGUUGGUGAACCAGCGGAGGGAUCAUUACAGAGUUCUAAAAAGACUCCCAAAACCAUUGUGAACGCACCGUUAGCCGUUGCCUCGGCGGGCGGCCCCUCCCUGGGGCCGCUGCCCUCCCUCGCGGGGGGUGCCCGCCGGCGCGCCAAAAACUCUUAUGUAUGUUAGUGGCCUCUCUGAGAAAACAAGCAAAUAAGUUAAAACUUUCAACAACGGAUCUCUUGGUUCUGGCAUCGAUGAAGAACGCAGCGAAAUGCGAUAAGUAAUGUGAAUUGCAGAAUUCAGUGAAUCAUCGAAUCUUUGAACGCACAUUGCGCCCGCCAGUACUCUGGCGGGCAUGCCUGUCCGAGCGUCAUUUCAACCCUCAAGCCCCGCUUGGUGUUGGGGUCCUACGGCUGCCGUAGGCCCUGAAAGCUAGUGGCGGGCUCGCUAUAACUCCGAGCGUAGUAGUAAAAUAUCUCGCUAGGGAGGUGUCGCGGGUUCCGGCCGUGAAAGCCCAUCUUUUACACAAGGUUGACCUCGGAUCAGGUAGGAAUACCCGCUGAACUUAA
RNAcentral lists this ribosomal RNA (567 nucleotides) under uncultured fungus. RNAcentral's name for it is "eukaryotic LSU rRNA". The stretch from base 218 to 371 matches the Rfam family "5.8S ribosomal RNA". Lineage: Eukaryota; Fungi. The record is from RNAcentral.